RNAcentral lists this ribosomal RNA (501 nucleotides) under uncultured bacterium. RNAcentral's name for it is "partial 16S ribosomal RNA". It matches the Rfam family "Bacterial small subunit ribosomal RNA", at positions 30 to 523 of the family's 1533-position model. The record is from RNAcentral.
AUUGAACGCUGGCGGCAGGCUUAACACAUGCAAGUCGAGCGGAGCGAGGGUGCUUGCACCUUAGCUUAGCGGCGGACGGGUGAGUAAUGCUUAGGGAUCUGCCUAUUAGUGGGGGACAACAUUCCGAAAGGAAUGCUAAUACCGCAUACGCCCUACGGGGGAAAGCAGGGGAUCUUCGGACCUUGCGCUAAUAGAUGAGCCUAAGUCGGAUUAGCUAGUUGGUGGGGUAAAGGCCUACCAAGGCGACGAUCUGUAGCGGGUCUGAGAGGAUGAUCCGCCACACUGGGACUGAGACACGGCCCAGACUCCUACGGGAGGCAGCAGUGGGGAAUAUUGGACAAUGGGCGGAAGCCUGAUCCAGCCAUGCCGCGUGUGUGAAGAAGGCCUUUUGGUUGUAAAGCACUUUAAGCGAGGAGGAGGCUACUUAGAUUAAUACUCUGGGAUAGUGGACGUUACUCGCAGAACAAGCACCGGCUAACUCUGUGCCAGCCGCCGCAGUAA